Molecule: ribosomal RNA, 253 nt
Filed under: uncultured bacterium
Lineage: Bacteria
Description: partial 16S ribosomal RNA
Rfam family: Bacterial small subunit ribosomal RNA
Source: RNAcentral
UACGUAGGGGGCGAGCGUUGUCCGGAUUUAUUGGGCGUAAAGAGCGUGUAGGCGGUUCGGUAAGUCUGUCGUGAAAUCCUGAGGCUCAACCUCGGGCGUGCGAUGGAUACUGCCGGGCUAGAGGGUGGUAGAGGCGAGUGGAAUUCCCGGUGUAGCGGUGAAAUGCGCAGAUAUCAGGAGGAACACCGGUGGUGUAGACGGCUUUCUGGACCGUAACUGACGCUGAGACACGAAAGCGUGGGUAGCAAACAGG